GCCGUCAUCACAUUGGUAUCACACUCGGCUGUAAACCGAUUGGUCGCCGGUUCGACUCCGGUCGAAGGGA
Molecule: non-coding RNA, 70 nt
Organism: Kalaharituber pfeilii
Lineage: Eukaryota; Fungi; Ascomycota; Pezizomycetes; Pezizales; Pezizaceae
Source: the annotation of a GenBank genome assembly